UACGUAGGGUGCGAGCGUUGUCCGGAAUUAUUGGGCGUAAAGAGCUUGUAGGCGGUUUGUCGCGUCUGCUGUGAAAAUCCGGGGCUCAACCACGGACUUGCAGUGGGUACGGGCAGACUAGAGUGUGGUAGGGGAGACUGGAAUUCCUGGUGUAGCGGUGAAAUGCGCAGAUAUCAGGAGGAACACCGAUGGCCAAGGCAGGUCUCUGGGCCACUACUGACGCUGAGAAGCGAAAGCAUGGGGAGCGAACAGGAUUAGA
This 259-nucleotide ribosomal RNA is filed under the name uncultured prokaryote. Its description in RNAcentral is "partial 16S ribosomal RNA". It matches the Rfam family "Bacterial small subunit ribosomal RNA", at positions 524 to 782 of the family's 1533-position model. The record is from RNAcentral.